CAACCCCGCCCAAAUCACAUACUGCAGGCGUGUCAUGAGUUUCCAGGGAGUGAUUGAUUGAUCUACUGCUCACCUGGGCUAGACCUACCUGUAACUCUUCAGUGCUGCCGUGGAAACAGCGGAGAAACACACGGCCACGGAACAACACGGCACCCGCGGUAAGAAGGAAAAUGGCGAUUUUUCUGGUUUUGCUAAUUGCAGUGCACUUGACUUUGGCCGGAGAUGACUGUUAUAAAGUAUGCGUUGACAACAUUCAAGAUAAGCUGAUGUGCUUUGAAACAAAUUCAGAAACACCGCUGUGUUGUUUAGAUGCCAGUUGUGAUAAAAAGUGUCAGCUCGAAGGCAAUUGCAUUUACUUUGACGAACUACCUAGUUGUUAUUUAAAUACUGAAGAAAAGAAACCAGAAAAGUGUGAACACCAGACAGUGAGAAAAAUAAUCUCUGAAGAAAGCUCCAACAAAUCUGGAUACCAGAUGACAGACCUGCUACUCCUUUUGACUCUAGCAAUUGUUCUCAUGGUAUAUCUACGUUGACACAGAGGCACAUAUAGAUAGAACGUUGGCGGGGUUUCCAUGGAAAAAUAUUCAAGAAAACACUUUUAUUAAACUAGGUUUCUAUGACGGUUGUAGGUUUUAGGCCCUUAUAAAUUGUACCAUGAAAUUAUCUUAGGGUGCUAAAAAUAUCCAGCACUUGCAAUAUUAUCACUAAUAACUCUUUCUUGUGUCUUGAAUGUAUCUUUUCCUAAUCCGCUUUCUCUGUCCACUACAGCAGAGGCACCAAAUCAUAAAAUCAAACAAAAGUUAGGUGCUGAUGUGAAUUGUAUCUUCAUUACUUGCAAUGGGAUUGUAAUCAAAUUAAUUUUAUGGAAAUAU
Molecule: long non-coding RNA, 872 nt
Organism: Acipenser ruthenus (sterlet)
Lineage: Eukaryota; Metazoa; Chordata; Actinopteri; Acipenseriformes; Acipenseridae
Exons: 8
Source: RefSeq, a predicted model, not a curated record